This 4547-nucleotide long non-coding RNA is filed under the name Pomacea canaliculata. RNAcentral's name for it is "uncharacterized LOC112569459". Lineage: Eukaryota; Metazoa; Mollusca; Gastropoda; Architaenioglossa; Ampullariidae. The record is from RNAcentral.
UUGAGAGAUGAAGAGAAAGACGUGAAAAAGGGAGGGAGACCAAUAGCUGCUGGAGGUAGCUAUCACCUAGGGGUGUGUCUUAAGGCCAGCCUUGAAAGCGGUUAUAUAGGCAGUGUAAGCUUUGUAAGUUUGAGCAUCUCCUAUUGGUUGCAGUCUUUCCAAUCUGAAGGUGUCCAUGUACAUUCCUGACGUCAUGGUUUAACAACCACUCGCUUCAGAACUAGAUUUUAAAAAAAAUCCCCAACAAAUUACUGCCCUGACGAUGCCAAGCUCGCGAAGCAGAAAAAUCUAGACCGUGCACCAAGGUUAGCAGUGACGUGGAAAGGUCAGCUCGGAGCUAAACCAGGUGGACGUGAGGAAUGAUUAAAACCGCUCGCUUCCGCGUCGUCCGGGGACGUUAAGGACGAUAAACUGGGGGUCAACGUCUGGCAGACGAGCAUCGCACGAAUCGUCCCAGCUCACCUGAGAGAGCUGGCAGUCGGACGAGCUGUCACGUGGUCGUCGGGUGCAGCGAUAAGCACGUGACCAGCGAGAAGCCCUCGUCUGGCAGACGACACGUGAGGUGCUAACAUCACGUGAUCACAGGGAGAUGCGGCAGCUCCUUGCAGGAAACAUGGGCUGGCUCAAACGUGACUUUAAUGGCACAAAAUUCAUGGAAACGUUCUGCUGGAGACUUUGCUAAGGUGAAUAUCCUGAAAGUGAUGGAGGGGAAGGCAUUCAUCCAGAUUUUAAGAUUUUUGUUUUCUUUCUUAUAUUGAUGCACCGGAUCUCGAUGAGGCUUCGAGAAGGAUGACAACCUGAAUUCUAGUGACUGGCGGGGCAGUGAACGUAGGUGGUCCACCGUGUCUAGUGUACCGCAGGGAGAGGACCCCAACCUUCUGUUCUGCACCUUCACUUUUUCUGGUAAAUCAUGUGACCACUUCUGCUAAUGAGAUUGCUGGAUGGACUGGAGAAAAAGUUUUUCAGCCCAGACCACUAAUAAUCCUUCUGCUCCAUAGUCGUCAGUCCAGUCGAGGGCUUUAACAACCCGCCGAGAACUGCUCUGUUACUUAUGUACACCUGGUUUUUCAUUGUGAGGUUUUCCGAGCAAAGAAUUAUGUGCAUGGACUAGUGAUCACAUUUCCCCAAAACAAAAAAUGCUUUCAUCGACGAUGUUCGGAAUAAACGUUUUAAGCUCACAGGUCAUGGUCAGAGAGACGGAGGGAGGGAACAAAAGAUUUACUUCUGGACAGUAUCGGAGGAUGAUCACGAGAGAUGACCGAUGUGACCACCACAACGAUGUCACAACGACACGAUCCAAGCAGUCGAAGGGAGACAAUUCGAAGUGAUUAAAUUCGAUUCAGUAAAGAAAGGAAGGAGAGAAGGAAAUGAAUGAAAAAACAAACAAAAAAACAAAAAAACCACCUACCCACCCUCCGACAUGCACUUUGAUGUUCAACAGUUAUUAUUGCUGACCAGAUGUUUGUUGUUGACUUGCAUCAUUUGGCCGGUCAGGGUGUGGAGAGGGUGAAGGUCGAAGACAAUUUUUCAUGUUCAGGCUAUGGGGGUCAAAGUUCAAGUGUCAUUCUCUGCUGCGUGUGCAUACAUUAAACAUCUCCAAGUCGCUAACCGGAGUACAGAAGUGUACAUCUAGAUGAUUAUUUGAGCCAUAGCUUAAAUUAUUUAAUUAAAAAAUUAUGAGAAAUGAGGAAGAAAAGGGAUGGCCAUAAUUUUUUCUUUUUUACAACUUUGGCAUAUCUCUGUAUUUUUUUUCAUUGUUUGAGCUCGCAUGCGUCAUGCCCCUCAACUAUAAACAAUUUCCCUAUUUGUUGUGCUUACAUCUUCUAUAGCACUUAAAUAAAGAAAUAACAAAGAGAAAUAAUAAAUAAGUCUUUGCUGAAAAAAAUGAGAAAAGCUUUUAUGUAGUUCUCCUCUUACAAUUUAAAUGUAAUGAAAUGUAUUUUAUGUGAUGAAUUUCUAAAAGCAAGACCAACAGUCCCAGACUGAACAUUGUAUGCCAAGGAUGUCCAGUUGUGCCAUCUGACGGAAAUUAUCGACUAAUCAAUUUAUUUUCACAAUCACAAAAAGAGACCUUUUCGAAACUUGUCGUUCAUCGUCGUUGUACUGCAAGCAGAAGAAUCAGAUUUUUUUUUAAAUAUUCAAUUUUGGAUAAAAAUGAAGGUUUCAAAGCGGAAUUAAAAUGAGCAAGCCGUUAAAACGUUUUAAUAUAAAAAUACUUAGUAAAAUAUAUUUUAUCUUGUUUUUUUGUUCUGUUCUCUUUCCUCCGCUGAGAUUGAGAUAGUCAUGACCAGACGCUUCAACUGGAUUGUCCUUCACCUCUUCUAUUCUUUAUUUUCUUUUUCUUUCUUUCUUUGAUGUGGCAUUGACUAUUACUUUAAAACUACCCGAGUUUAUUGCACAAAUUUUCGCUGAAAUAAUGGCCAGAUCUGUAUCAUUCACAACACAGUGUGUGUCGGCUGUUUCCUGUGAAAUAACGAUGCCGUGUCAGCAGUUUCAGCUUUUGUCAUAAAUUCUUCAGCACCUGAUGUUCAGAAACUUUUUUCCACUUUAAGUUAGCCUGCGUAUAGUGCAUGCAACCCUCGUCAAUCCUUUCUUUUCAGUCUAUCCUUUGCCUCGUCCUGACUUUUUUUCCCCCUCGAGCAAUUUCUUCCUUGUAAAAAGGCAAACCAGGUAUGCUCCGUGUCAUUAAUUCGUUCCUCGUCGCGCGAUCUUCCCCUUCUCCUUAUAUGAUAAUCGCCAGACCGAGCGUCGGCGAGCGAGGAAAACGAAAAGGGGGAAGGUGCGGUCAUUAUGCUCGGCACGAAAGUGGGCGGAGCUUACGGGAGCGUCUGGCCUCGAUAACCUCAGAAGAGCGGAACCCGUCAUGCGCUUGCGCGCAGCCAGCGCUAUUGUAAACGGAGCAACUAAUCAGAGCGCGCGCAGCAGCCAGGGUCACAAGGUUUGACACCUCGUGCGCACCGCCAGCUCAGGCGCCCUGUCGCUUUUUUUUUUUUUAGGCCAGGCUCCGCCCAUUUCUCCAGCGCGCCUUUUUUGCCCUGACUGCUAAUGUAGACUACGAAGGGGGUCAGGAGAUAAAAGAAAUGGGUAAGGAUCGGAAAAACGUGGUUUCAAUACUCAGUCUUUUUUCUUCUUUUUUUUUUUUUGAGAGUUGAGUGGUGUGUCAUGUUUGUGGCAAGAUAAAACUUAGUCCAAACCGAGCGGCUGUCGAGGGAGGUUUUGACAGAGAGGUCACUGACAGGGCGGGCAACGAUGACGUAAUGUCUGGAAUUUGUAAUGUCCUGGCCGAGCUAAACGCAAAGUGAGUCUCGGCGUGGCGGCGUGUACUUUACGUAUGUGGGAGAGAAAAGAAACUUGAAUGUUGUGUAUUAAAGAUGUGUAGCCUAAACCGAGCUGUUUGUAGUUUUAUCCUCAAAACGUUUGAAUGUGUGUACGUGUAUGUGUGUUUUGUUUUAAUGUGAUGUGAUUUCAAAAAAUGAAAGAGGUGAAGGUCUUCAUGCAAAAGCUAAUCAGGCAAGUAUGUUUCUUUUCUUCAAGGAAACUGAACCAAAAUAACAAAAUAACCACACAGACAUACACGUGACAGAUGAAUGAAUGUAUAUGAUGAAACGUUUGUUUCAAAGUAGUCCUUGUUUAUACGAGUGUGACUAAGACCUACCCAGAGUAAACCUGUGUGAAUGACAUCCAGGAAACAAUACUUGUGUAUGUCUAUAUAGAUUAUUUAAACAGUAUUUUAGUUAGAUAUACAUAUUAUCAAGGCAAGUUAGUUUUUGUUGUCUGGGGAGACAGGAUAACGUGCAAGAUAAGUGUGAAUCUAUUUUCAGGCACUGGAAAAAAUAGACAUGAGGGAACCUCUUUUUACAACCAGAUUACUUACCAGGUCCGUUACUUGGAGAUAUAUAUAUACUAAAUCUCUCUCAUAUCUUUCUCUCUCUCUCAUGCUGAGCAGCCCCGGCAUGCUUCGCCUCGUGUUGUAGAAUCUGUUGAUGUGUGUCUCUCUGUUUGCUGAUAUUAUUUUAGUCUGUCUUUAGGACUUUAGCGAGGUCUCAACACACUUAGACAAAGAUGUAGACCAACACGUGACUAAAGGUGGUACAUAAGAAGAGACUGAUUACAGGGAAUGAUGAACAGGAGAUGUAAUAAGCAGGGAAGAGAGAGAAGGAAAGGGAAGAGGAACAAUUCUUGUUUCCCUUUUCUCAUUCAUAGCUAUAUUCGGAGGUUUUUUUGUCACCAUUUCCCUUUUCUUCCUUUCUCCCAUUUGAUUCUGAGAAUCAUCACAGUGACUUCAAUUCUUUAAUAAGAAGAACUUCAUAAAGAGUUCAUGAAGCUAGACUCGUGAUGUGCCCCAUGCCGGGUACAGUCAGCUCACAUCUCCAUUUCCACCAAGCUAAACUUGGAGUUUGUUCACAUGUGUUGUCUAGACGUUCCAGCUUCACUUUCUUACCAUCAGCUUGUUUAAGACAUUAUGUGGAUGACAGAAAGUAUAGAAUUCUGCAGCCUGCCCUGUUCUCAAGUUUAAAAAGAUUUUUUAAAGAAUUGCAUUACACUUG